UACGUAGGGGGCAAGCGUUGUCCGGAUUUAUUGGGCGUAAAGAGCGUGUAGGCGGCUUGAUAAGUCAGCUGUGAAAACUCGAGGCUCAACCUCGAGACGUCGGUUGAAACCAUCUGGCUAGAGUCCGGAAGAGGAGUGUGGAAUUCCCGGUGUAGCGGUGAAAUGCGCAGAUAUCGGGAAGAACACCCGUGGCGAAGGCGGCACUCUGGGACGGUACUGACGCUGAGACGCGAAAGCGUGGGGAGCGAACAGG
RNAcentral lists this ribosomal RNA (253 nucleotides) under uncultured bacterium. RNAcentral's name for it is "partial 16S ribosomal RNA". It matches the Rfam family "Bacterial small subunit ribosomal RNA", at positions 524 to 776 of the family's 1533-position model. The record is from RNAcentral.